AAUUUUUUAAUGAAACCUAGUGGAGAAGGAGUCAGGAUGAAAUGCAGAGCUCUACUUGUUAUCUUCCUCUUAACAGCAAAUAAUUUUAGAGCUCUGGAUGCUCAAAAAGACAAUAGAAAACUCAAAACAGCUAUUUCGAAGCUUAAAUUAUUUUUAACAAAGCUGCGCAGCAACGCGGGAAUAGGACAGUGCAAAAAGAAUGCCGCUUCAGAAGGAGCAACUCAAGGGCAAAGCUGUGAAAAUCUUUUGACGAAUUCACCGAAUCAACCAAGCUACAAGCAAUGUGUUGCCAAAUGUCUUUUUAAUAGGCUACGACCUGAAAUCCCGAAAAAUGACCUGCCAGUUUUCGAUGCAGACUUCCGAAAAGAGGCAAUAAAUUGUAAU
Molecule: long non-coding RNA, 384 nt
Organism: Cloeon dipterum
Lineage: Eukaryota; Metazoa; Arthropoda; Insecta; Ephemeroptera; Baetidae
Exons: 3
Source: RefSeq, a predicted model, not a curated record